CAAAGUAAUUUUUUUUUUUUAAAUGAACAUAUUCGUUGCUUCUCUUCCUCCAACAGAAAAUCCAGGCUACUCUGAGAUGAACACAGUGAAAACUACAGAUUCUGCUGGUGAUUCUGCUCCUGGGUCAGGUGAUGUGACGUAUGCCCAGAUUCAACUAAAGUUGGACAAGACAAAGAACGAAUCAAAACCCCCACAAGAGUCAGAAUCAGUCUACUCUCAAGUAAAGCCAGACCCAGCCCACGGUCCUUGAGGGAGAUGUAAGGGAAACAAUCAGUUGAAGGGAACAUGGAUGUGUUUUUUCCCCAAUUCUCCCUGUCACAAAAGUGUGAGCCCACACCACGCAUGAACGGAUUUACCACAGCCGCAAUCACACACAAAAACCAACUUUCAAUAGUUUUUCCUGUCAGACAAUAUAUUUAACAACAGAUUUAUAGAGCAUACUGAAUCUGUUGCUUUUUACAUUACUUGUAG
Long non-coding RNA from Esox lucius (northern pike), 471 nucleotides. The record is from Ensembl. NCBI's taxonomy places the organism in Eukaryota, Metazoa, Chordata, Actinopteri, Esociformes, Esocidae.